This 1013-nucleotide ribosomal RNA is filed under the name uncultured beta proteobacterium. Its description in RNAcentral is "bacterial SSU rRNA". It matches the Rfam family "Bacterial small subunit ribosomal RNA", at positions 9 to 1011 of the family's 1533-position model. Lineage: Bacteria; Pseudomonadati; Pseudomonadota; Betaproteobacteria. The record is from RNAcentral.
GAGUUUGAUCCUGGCUCAGAUUGAACGCUGGCGGAAUGCUUUACACAUGCAAGUCGAACGGCAGCAUAGAGAGCUUGCUCUCUGAUGGCGAGUGGCGAACGGGUGAGUAAUAUAUCGGAACGUGCCUAGUAAUGGGGAAUAACUAGCUGAAAGGUUAGCUAAUGCCGCAUACGACCUACGGGUGAAAGCAGGGGAUCUUCGGACCUUGCGUUAUUAGAGCGGCCGAUAUCUGAUUAGCUUGUUGGUGGGGUAAUGGCCUACCAAGGCGACGAUCAGUAGCUGGUCUGAGAGGACGAUCAGCCACACUGGAACUGAGACACGGUCCAGACUCCUACGGGAGGCAGCAGUGGGGAAUUUUGGACAAUGGGGGCAACCCUGAUCCAGCCAUUCCGCGUGAGUGAAGAAGGCCUUCGGGUUGUAAAGCUCUUUCGCAAGAGAAGAAAACUUGCUAUCUAAUAAAUAGUAAGUAUGACGGUAUCUUGACAAGAAGCACCGGCUAACUACGUGCCAGCAGCCGCGGUAAUACGUAGGGUGCAAGCGUUAAUCGGAAUUACUGGGCGUAAAGCGUGCGCAGGCAGUUUUAUAAGUCAGAUGUGAAAUCCCCGAGCUCAACUUGGGAACUGCGUUUGAAACUAUAAGACUAGAGUGUGUCAGAGGGGGGUAGAAUUCCAAGUGUAGCAGUGAAAUGCGUAGAGAUUUGGAGGAAUACCAAUGGCGAAGGCAGCCCCCUGGGAUAACACUGACGCUCAUGCACGAAAGCGUGGGGAGCAAACAGGAUUAGAUACCCUGGUAGUCCACGCCCUAAACAGAUGUCUACUAGUUGUUGGUGGAGUAAAAUCCAUGAGUAACGCAGCUAACGCGUGAAGUAGACCGCCUGGGGAGUACGGUCGCAAGAUUAAAACUCAAAUGAAUUGACGGGGGCCCGCACAAGCGGUGGAUUAUGUGGAUUAAUUCGAUGCAACGCGAAAAACCUUACCUGGCCUUGACAUGUACCGAAUUUAGCAGAGAUGCUU